UGGGGAAUAUUGGACAAUGGGCGCAAGCCUGAUCCAGCCAUGCCGCGUGAGUGAUGAAGGCCCUAGGGUUGUAAAGCUCUUUCACCGGUGAAGAUAAUGACGGUAACCGGAGAAGAAGCCCCGGCUAACUUCGUGCCAGCAGCCGCGGUAAUACGAAGGGGGCUAGCGUUGUUCGGAUUUAGUGGGCGUAAAGCGCACGUAGGCGGACUUUUAAGUCAGGGGUGAAAUCCCGGGGCUCAACCCCGGAACUGCCUUUGAUACUGGAAGUCUUGAGUAUGGUAGAGGUGAGUGGAAUUCCGAGUGUAGAGGUGAAAUUCGUAGAUAUUCGGAGGAACACCAGUGGCGAAGGCGGCUCACUGGACCAUUACUGACGCUGAGGUGCGAAAGCGUGGGGAGCAAACAGG
This 404-nucleotide ribosomal RNA is filed under the name Actinomycetes bacterium. RNAcentral's name for it is "Actinobacteria bacterium partial 16S ribosomal RNA". It matches the Rfam family "Bacterial small subunit ribosomal RNA", at positions 355 to 776 of the family's 1533-position model. The record is from RNAcentral. Lineage: Bacteria; Bacillati; Actinomycetota; Actinomycetes.